UUAGAAAGCAGAAUUGCAACAGAAACUCUUGCUGCUGCUAUUGGUUCUGGCAAGCAAGGUCCUGAAACAGGUUAUUGGAAGUUCCUGGUGAUGGCAGCCAUUCUCUGAUUUCUUGCAUUGAGCUUCCAGUUCUCAUGUGUGACAGGCAGUUGGGAAAGCAGCUGGUGGGGAAUGCAGCAGCUUCUUGACAACCGAAUCACAGCUAGUAUGAUGUAUCCUUGAACUAAACAGUCCAGUGGUCAUCCCCUGACUGCUGCUGCCCCAGCUCAUCCAAUCAUUUGGUGGGCCUCAUGCAGUAAGUUGAAGGUUGUAAGAGCAAAGAUAGAAGGCCUUCCCAAAGAAUGAGGACUUCUGCCUGAGGAUAGCAAAUACCAAUUCUGCAUGGGUUUCCUGGCUUCAGACUCAAGAAUGCAAUAUCAACUCUUACUGGAAUUUCUAUCCUACCAGCUUGCCCUGCAAAUUUCAGACUUGCCAGCCCUUGCAAUUAAGGGAACCUGAAAAAGCUGAUCUACUGGGAUGCAUAAAAUCUGCUUCAGGACUGAUGAAGUUGCAUUUCUGAACUAGUAUUAAAAGGGUGAGAGAGAUUUAUGUGAAACAACUGAAACAUUUCAGUGUCAAAAUACUCCCAAAUACAGAACAACAGAGUAGAUCUGUGUGCUCACUCUUGCAAGAAAGGAAGAAGGAGGAUCUGGAGGAAAUUGAACAAUAAAGCUUCCUAGCUGAAUCCAGUAAAUUUUCCCAACCUCUCCAGAAUAUGAAAAAAAAAAAUGUUGCUUUUCUGUUUUGGUAAUUUUUCACAGUUAUGAAAGAAUUGGUGAGAGCAGUUUAGGAGAUGCAAUGACACUGUAUAACAGAAGAAAAAUAAAAGGUAAUAAGUAUU
This 880-nucleotide long non-coding RNA is filed under the name Homo sapiens (human). RNAcentral describes it as "HSALNT0364086". The record is from RNAcentral. Lineage: Eukaryota; Metazoa; Chordata; Mammalia; Primates; Hominidae.